RNAcentral lists this long non-coding RNA (1177 nucleotides) under Marmota monax (woodchuck). The record is from RNAcentral. Lineage: Eukaryota; Metazoa; Chordata; Mammalia; Rodentia; Sciuridae.
CAAAAAUCCUGCUGUGCUUCAUUUCACUAUUUAAAUCCAUUAGUAAAUACAAUCCCAAGCAACACUAUUUUGUAAACAUUUAUAUUUUUAGUUGUAGGUGAGCAUAAUAUCUUUAUUUUAUUUUUAUAUGGUGCUAAGGAUUGAACCCAGUUCUGUGCUAGGCAAGUGCUCUACCUCUGAGCCACAACCCCAGCCCCCCAAACUGCACUAUUUGUUCUCUCAAGUUGUUACAUUACAUAUAUUUCAUGAAUAAUUUCAAACCCUUCAAGAUAGACAAACCAUAUAUGUUUUGUAUACCUAUAUGGCAACAAAAACAAGAUAUAUAUCUUGCAGCGGGACUUUUAUUUUGAAUGAAGAUUUGAUGGAUGUCCAUUGUUAAUCUAAACAAUGGACUAUCUAAAGGUGGUUGGUCACCAAAGCGAACCUUAUAGCCUGUAAGUACUAGAAUUGUUAUUGUCUACCAGGGAAUCACUUUGUAUUUUUUGAGCCCUCAACUUCACUUGCUUCUUUUAUUAUUGUCCUUCAUAUAGCUAAUCUGAGAAUUUAUUUGGGUACGAAAACUUUUGAAAAUGUGUUGGCCAAGAAGAUUUUCAUCAGUGUUUCUGCUGUCUGCUGAUUUAGAGCCUUUAUCCUGAGCGAGAUUGUUAAUUCUAACCAAAACUGAUGCAGACUAUUAGAAUUAGGUAUAUUCCCCAUACUAAGUAAUUUUUAAUUGUGAUAUAAACCUAACUAUUACUUAUUUUUACUCAUGAAUAAAUUUAAAGUCUUUGAAAUAGUCCAGAUUUUUUUUUUUUUCCUUAAAGAAACAGGACAAGGUAUGACUAGGGAUUAGGCCUCUGACAGAAUUCUUCAUUUUAAGUUCAUGGUUUUGAGGAGAGUCAUCAGGCAAGAGUAUAGUCCCAUUACACUUGCCCUGCUUGCUUUUCAAAUUCAAAGCCCAUGUUGUUGCAUUGGAAACUUAGUUCUCUUUUAUAAGCAUUUCAUUAAUUUUUUUAAACGUCAAUCUGUAAAUAUUUAACCAGCCAAGCAGAAAACAGUCUUUUAUUCUCGUCUCUAUGCAGCUUUGUUUUUAUCUGAUUUAGUAUGAGUGCCAUGUAAAUAUCACAUAAAAAUUUGACUUUGAUUGUCCUUACUUUGACUGAAGAUUGACAGGAGCUCCUUAAUUAAUCUUGUUCUC